Molecule: non-coding RNA, 158 nt
Organism: Caenorhabditis elegans
Lineage: Eukaryota; Metazoa; Nematoda; Chromadorea; Rhabditida; Rhabditidae
Source: Ensembl
AAAGGUAUGUAAGUAAUUUAUAUAAGGAAACACAAACAAUACCAAAUUGAAGUUUAAUAUAUAUGGACUGGUAGAGAAACAGUUGAAAGUUCGCAGUAAGAACCCAAUUUCUUUUGAAUAUUUAUUCAAUAGUUUACUAUGAAUUGGUUCAAUCAAGA